RNAcentral lists this ribosomal RNA (254 nucleotides) under uncultured bacterium. RNAcentral describes it as "partial 16S ribosomal RNA". It matches the Rfam family "Bacterial small subunit ribosomal RNA", at positions 524 to 776 of the family's 1533-position model. The record is from RNAcentral.
UACGUAGGGUGCAAGCGUUAAUCGGAAUUACUGGGCGUAAAGCGUGCGCAGGCGGUUAUGCAAGACAGAUGUGAAAUCCCCGGGCUCAACCUGGGGAGCUGCAUUUGUGACUGCAUGGCUAGAGUGCGGCAGAGGGGGAUGGAAUUCCGCGUGUAGCAGUGAAAUGCGUAGAUAUGCGGAGGAACACCGAUGGCGAAGGCAAUCCCCUGGGCCUGCACUGACGCUCAUGCACGAAAGCGUGGGGAGCAAACAGG